AUGCUGGGUGAGCGUGGUCCCACCACCAUCUGUGCCCGUCCUCAGGACCACCGCCGUGACCCUGUGUCCCCCCCUGAAGAGCCAGUGGGUGACAAAGCCAUGGGGUUCUCCAGGGCCCAUGGGGCGAAGGACAGCAGCAACCGGAAGCGGAAGAAUGAGGCAGAGACGGGACAGGAGGUGCUGAAGGCACCCCAGGGAAAGGCUGUGAAGAAGGAACCAGAGGAAACUCCAUGUGUGGUGCAGCCCCCUGUGCUGAAAGGGAAGAAAAAAUCUGCAAAAAACAAAGAGAAACCACUGCAGGAGAACAUCAUCAGUAGCUCCCUAAAGCAUGAGGCUGUGGAAGGUGAAGGCUCAAGCCAGUGGGAUGGGAUCCGAGCAAAGGAGGCAGCUGCAUCUGGGUUGGAGAAGACUGAAUCCAGCCUUCACCAAGGGUCAUCAGCAGGGCUGGAGGGCUCUUCCAGGUCACAGCCCAAAUCCUGGAGAAAGGGACCUGCAGUGGGACAGCAGCUCUCAGAGACCAAGGACCGAGUUGGGGUAGGAAACCUAGGGGGUACAGGUGGUUGCCAAGACCCAAUCUUCAAUGGGAUGCGUCCCUUAGCAUCUCUUCUGUGUGCAUGGACUUCAGGAUAAUUGCCCUCCUUUCCAAA
RNAcentral lists this long non-coding RNA (647 nucleotides) under Anas platyrhynchos platyrhynchos (common mallard). RNAcentral's name for it is "lncRNA (ENSAPLG00000021764.1)". The record is from RNAcentral. Lineage: Eukaryota; Metazoa; Chordata; Aves; Anseriformes; Anatidae.